Erinaceus europaeus (western European hedgehog) is the source of this 366-nucleotide long non-coding RNA. RefSeq lists it as uncharacterized. NCBI's taxonomy places the organism in Eukaryota, Metazoa, Chordata, Mammalia, Eulipotyphla, Erinaceidae. The record is from RefSeq and is a predicted model, not a curated record. The transcript is spliced from 3 exons.
GAGGCGGACACGCUGGCAGGUGGAACUUAGGACAGAGGAACCGGACGGUGACGUACACGUCAUCAUGGAGCCCACAGGUGCCAAGCUUGUAGCCCCGGUGAUGGCCCCUCCACACCUGUCUCGACACAGGCAGGAGACCCCCAGGUAAGCCACACGCCAGCCAGCCAGCCAGCGAGCUUGUGCUAUGUGCCCACCCCCUCUUCAGAAGAGGAAUCUUGAGGCUGAGAGAGGUCACCUGGCCCCAGGUGAAGAACACACAUGGGGGCUGGGGAGAUGGCAUAACGGUUGUGCAAAGAGAUGCUCAUGCCUGAGGCUUCAAGAUCCCAGGUUCAAUCCCCAGCACCACCAGAGGCCAGAGCAGACAGU